RNAcentral lists this ribosomal RNA (497 nucleotides) under uncultured bacterium. Its description in RNAcentral is "partial 16S ribosomal RNA". It matches the Rfam family "Bacterial small subunit ribosomal RNA", at positions 28 to 507 of the family's 1533-position model. The record is from RNAcentral.
GAUGAACGCUGGCGGCGUGCCUAAUACAUGCAAGUCGAGCGAACAGAUGAGGAGCUUGCUCCUCUGACGUUAGCGGCGGACGGGUGAGUAACACGUGGAUAACCUACCUAUAAGACUGGGAUAACUUCGGGAAACCGGAGCUAAUACCGGAUAAUAUAUUGAACCGCAUUGUUCAAUAGUGAAAGACGGUUUUGCUGUCACUUAUAGAUGGAUCCGCGCCGCAUUAGCUAGUUGGUAAGGUAACGGCUUACCAAGGCAACGAUGCGUAGCCGACCUGAGAGGGUGAUCGGCCACACUGGAACUGAGACACGGUCCAGACUCCUACGGGAGGCAGCAGUAGGGAAUCUUCCGCAAUGGGCGAAAGCCUGACGGAGCAACGCCGCGUGAGUGAUGAAGGUCUUCGGAUCGUAAAACUCUGUUAUUAGGGAAGAACAAAUGUGUAAGUAACUAUGCACGUCUUGACGGUACCUAAUCAGAAAGCCACGGCUAACUACGUG